This 473-nucleotide ribosomal RNA is filed under the name uncultured bacterium. RNAcentral's name for it is "bacterial SSU rRNA". It matches the Rfam family "Bacterial small subunit ribosomal RNA", at positions 355 to 825 of the family's 1533-position model. The record is from RNAcentral.
UGGGGAAUAUUGCGCAAUGGGCGAAAGCCUGACGCAGCAACGCCGCGUGAGUGAUGAAGGCCUUCGGGUCGUAAAGCUCUGUCGGAGGGAACGAAUGCUCUUGAGGUUAAUAGCCUCGGGAGGUGACGGUACCCUCAAAGGAAGCACCGGCUAACUCUGUGCCAGCAGCCGCGGUAAUACAGAGGGUGCAAGCGUUGUUCGGAAUUACUGGGCGUAAAGGGCGCGUAGGCGGCCCUCUAAGUCAGACGUGAAAUCCCCCGGCUUAACCUGGGAACUGCGUCUGAUACUGGAGGGCUUGAGUAUGGGAGAGGGAUGUAGAAUUCCAGGUGUAGCGGUGAAAUGCGUAGAUAUCUGGAGGAAUACCGGUGGCGAAGGCGGCAUCCUGGACCAUUACUGACGCUGAGGCGCGAAAGCUAGGGGAGCAAACGGGAUUAGAUACCCCAGUAGUCCCUGAGCGGGCUGGCAAGGCGCAU